RNAcentral lists this ribosomal RNA (411 nucleotides) under Planctomycetaceae bacterium. RNAcentral describes it as "partial 23S ribosomal RNA". It matches the Rfam family "Bacterial large subunit ribosomal RNA", at positions 1 to 428 of the family's 2925-position model. The record is from RNAcentral. Lineage: Bacteria; Pseudomonadati; Planctomycetota; Planctomycetia; Planctomycetales; Planctomycetaceae.
CAAUAAGCUAGAUAAGGGCGUAUGGGGGAUGCCUAGGCUCUCAGAGGCGAAGAAGGACGUGAUAAGCUGCGAAAAGCCGCGGGGAUCGGCACAUACGAAAUGAUCCGCGGGUAUCCGAAUGGGGCAACCCUGCAUGCUGAAGGCAUGCAAUCCGCAAGGAGGCGAACCCGGGGAACUGAAACAUCUAAGUACCCGGAGGAAGAGAAAACAAAAGUGAUUCCGUAAGUAGUGGCGAGCGAACGCGGAACAGCCCAAACCGGUACUGUUACGGCAGUGCCGGGGUUGUAGGACCACGAGAUUCGAUGCGCGAUGAACCGGAACGUUCUGGAAAGGACGGCCGUAGCGGGUGACAGCCCCGUACGGGCAAAGGACGAUAUCGAUAGUGGGAUCCUGAGUAGCGCGGGGCACGUG